GACGAACGCUGGCGGCGUGCCUAAUACAUGCAAGUUGAGCGCUGAAGGUUGGUACUUGUACCAACUGGAUGAGCAGCGAACGGGUGAGUAACGCGUGGGGAAUCUGCCUUUGAGCGGGGGACAACAUUUGGAAACGAAUGCUAAUACCGCAUAAAAACUUUAAACACAAGUUUUAAGUUUGAAAGAUGCAAUUGCAUCACUCAAAGAUGAUCCCGCGUUGUAUUAGCUAGUUGGUGAGGUAAAGGCUCACCAAGGCGAUGAUACAUAGCCGACCUGAGAGGGUGAUCGGCCACAUUGGGACUGAGACACGGCCCAAACUCCUACGGGAGGCAGCAGUAGGGAAUCUUCGGCAAUGGACGAAAGUCUGACCGAGCAACGCCGCGUGAGUGAAGAAGGGUGUCGGAUCGGAAAACUCUGUUGGUAGAGAAGAACGUUGGUGAGAGUGGAAAGCUCAUAAAGUGACGGUAACUACCCAGAAAGGGACGGCUAACUACGUG
RNAcentral lists this ribosomal RNA (497 nucleotides) under uncultured bacterium. Its description in RNAcentral is "partial 16S ribosomal RNA". It matches the Rfam family "Bacterial small subunit ribosomal RNA", at positions 28 to 507 of the family's 1533-position model. The record is from RNAcentral.